Molecule: long non-coding RNA, 93 nt
Organism: Neltuma alba
Lineage: Eukaryota; Viridiplantae; Streptophyta; Magnoliopsida; Fabales; Fabaceae
Exons: 3
Source: RefSeq, a predicted model, not a curated record
ACCUUUGAAUUUUUUGUUACCAGAUCUCUCUACCAUCGCCAAACCUUGCUCUCGUUCGAACAUCUAUACUCCCUUAGCGAUCUCAAGCCUCCU